CCUACGGGUGGCAGCAGUGGGGAAUAUUGCACAAUGGACGAAAGUCUGAACCAGCAACGCCGCGUGAAUGAUGAAUGGCCUCGGGUUUGUAAGCUCCUUUUUUGUGGGAGUACAAUGUUCCGCGUGUGUGAUUUUGUAUUUACCAUAUGAAUACGGAUAGGCACACUCCGUGACAUCAGCGGCGGUACUACGUAGGAUGCGAGCGUUAUCCGGAUUUAUUGGGUUUUAAGUGAGCGUAGGUGGAUGGUUAGGUCAGUUGUGAAAGUUUGCGGCUCAACCGAACAAUUGCAGUGGAAACUGGCAGGCUUGAGUGCAGUAGAGGUGAGUGGAAUUCGUGGUGUAGCGGUGGAAUGCGUAGAUAUAAGGAAGAACACCGGUGGCGAAGGCAGUUGACUGGACUGCAACUGACACUGAGGCUCGAAAGCAUGGGUAGCAAACAGGAUUAGAUACCCCAGUAGUC
RNAcentral lists this ribosomal RNA (460 nucleotides) under uncultured bacterium. Its description in RNAcentral is "partial 16S ribosomal RNA". It matches the Rfam family "Bacterial small subunit ribosomal RNA", at positions 338 to 795 of the family's 1533-position model. The record is from RNAcentral.